RNAcentral lists this long non-coding RNA (205 nucleotides) under Capsicum annuum. Its description in RNAcentral is "long non-coding RNA (CANN_LNC000067)". The record is from RNAcentral. Lineage: Eukaryota; Viridiplantae; Streptophyta; Magnoliopsida; Solanales; Solanaceae.
GCAUGCUAAACGAGACAAAGAAAAAUCUUUUUGAUGUUUUUUGAGAAAAUGAGUGCGAAAGGUAAAAAAGUCCUUUUGAAUUUUGGAAUUGUGAAAAAUAAAAGCCAUAAAAAAAAACUAUAAAAACUAUGAAACUCUUUUUUUUUCUUGUUUUUUUUUCAUCACCCACACACUUUACUUCUAACACAUGUUUUUCCCAAAUCAG